GACGAACGCUGGCGGCGUGCUUAACACAUGCAAGUCGAACGGAAAGGCCCUGCUUUUGUGGGGUUCUCGAGUGGCGAACGGGUGAGUAACACGUGAGUAACCUGCCCUUGACUUUGGGAUAACUUCAGGAAACUGGGGCUAAUACCGGAUAGGAGCUCCUGCUGCAUGGUGGGGGUUGGAAAGUUUCGGCGGUUGGGGAUGGACUCGCGGCUUAUCAGCUUGUUGGUGGGGUAGUGGCUUACCAAGGCUUUGACGGGUAGCCGGCCUGAGAGGGUGACCGGCCACAUUGGGACUGAGAUACGGCCCAGACUCCUACGGGAGGCAGCAGUGGGGAAUAUUGCACAAUGGGCGGAAGCCUGAUGCAGCAACGCCGCGUGCGGGAUGACGGCCUUCGGGUUGUAAACCGAUUUCGCCUGUGACGAAGCGUGAGUGACGGUAAUGGGUAAAGAAGCCCCGGCUAACUACGUG
RNAcentral lists this ribosomal RNA (468 nucleotides) under uncultured bacterium. RNAcentral's name for it is "partial 16S ribosomal RNA". It matches the Rfam family "Bacterial small subunit ribosomal RNA", at positions 28 to 507 of the family's 1533-position model. The record is from RNAcentral.